UCCAUCUAAUUCUGGUAACCCAGGGCGGUGGGGAGGAGAUGGGAAAGGAUAAGGGGUUAGUCACUAGAUAUUAAUUAUGGUCAAAGAAGAGUAAGUGAUUGGCUAGCAAAUUUAUUUUGAUGGCUGACUGCACAAUCUGAACUAUACACCUUUGAAAAUGCAUUAGACUCUUGCGCUUGGAAGUUUAGAACUACUACAUUGUUGCUUUGUAAAUACAGGCAUGCUCACUUGCUGGUUUUAUUUUGGUGUGUAGGCAAAAGUUAAAACUGAACCACAAUCUCAGGUUUAGGGAUGCAAAUGGCAACUGAUCACAAAAUGAUUUAGAAACAAGUGCAACCCUGUAACUUUCAGCAAGAGAAAGAGAAGUACAGUUAGCUGUUUCAGAUUUAAAGAGACAAUUCCGUCUUUCACCGGAUGCAAAAUAUUUUUUUAUGUGCUCACUACUUGAAAAAAACUAACACAAGUUUACACCACCAGUGAAACAUCUUAGGCAUCACAUUGAUUUUGGUCGUAUAUCAUUAGGUAGGUAUCAGCCCCUGUUGUAGUCCUCCUAUUCCACUAUACAACAAACUCUCAAAAGAAAAACACAACACUUAUUUGUUUGCAUCAUCAAUUGGUAAAGCUUCCGGUGCCUAAACGUACUUAUGCUGCUGAAUAAGAAUAAUUUAUGUUGUUGUCCACAAUGUCAUGGUGCAGCAAAUCGUUUGCUGUAGGUGUGCAGAAAAGCAACAAGGCAAUAAGAGAUAAUGUGUUCUUCGUGGAAAUACAUAUGCUGAGACACCAAGGAUUCGUGGUCAUCCCUCUUCAACACUACCUACAAGAACAUUAGGAAGCGGAAAGGAGUGCAAUUACAAUCUCAGAAUCAGAAAUCCAAAAUUGCAAGUGUACAUGAGGGGGGGCGUAAAAAAUACUUAAUUUACUUGUCGUUCCUCCAGAUGCAAAGGAUCCAGCAGGAUAGCAAUAAAGAACGAUCUGUGAAUGUGAGAUUCAGGGGAGACACGGCGGCUGGACUGUCAGGACCCUGACAAGUUGUUCCUGUUAACUGAAGAACGAGACACUAGCUCUGAAGAAAUAGAAUUCAGUCUCUGGGAAUCGGACCGCUGGGAUCAAUUGGGCUAAAUGACCAUCGAUGGCUCUCCAGUUUCCUGUUCACCGUCAACUGUUGCCGCCACCAGCUAGACAGUAACAGUGACGGCAACGACUCCUUCGGUCCCACGCCUUCGUCACCUGCCUCCAACGAUAAAAGGCCCAGCCAGCAUUCUGGAAAAGCAUCUUUCCCCUUUCUCCAAGUGUAAUAGCUAGCUACCUUAAGAACCCUAGAGUACAUGGUAGAAAUUGGGCAGAUCCUCGAUCUGAACCCCUGUAUCUAUAACUCUGAAUUUCGAGAUAAUAUCAAGCGGGGCUAGUUCGAGUAAUUGUUGAGUUGUUGUUGUGUUGAGGUCCUAUCAAUUGGUAUCAUGAGCCAGUGAAUCCUCGGAGGCGAAUCGGAUCUGACUACGAACUGGGGUUGGGAUCUCUCAUAAAAUCCCCCAAAUUCAGUCUCGGAUCCCGACGACGGUGCAGACCAGCGGAUCAGAGGCGGCCUGGAGUAGGCAUCGAUCGGCUGCAGAUUGGGGAGAAACUCGGUUGCGGCCAGAACAAUUCCACUGUGGUAAAAUUCCGUAGCGUAUCCCCGGUUGGUGCAGCAUCAGAGGCGAGCGAAGUGGAGUUUUGGCGGCGGCAGGCAAAGGUCACCGGCGAGGGUUUCGGACUCGUUCCGCAGUGAAAUUCCGGAGCCGUGCAGAUCACCAUGCCAACCCGAACCAAGCACAUGGACGAGAUCUCAGAAGAGCUCGAAGCCUUGCAGACUGAGUUGACCGUGCUGGGCUUGAAGGAAGAUAAGAUGCAAGAUCAAAUCGAUCAGGUGAACACGCGCCUUCAGAUAGUUGAAUCCUUGGAAAAGCAAUUGGGAAAGGUUGAGCUCUUGGUCGAGAAUAAUUCCAAGGUACAGCAAGACAUCUUCGCCAUACUACGUGAAAUGCGAGCAGAGAAACCUCCCUCCCCUGUUCCCCAAGCGUCUGCUUCUUUGGUUGUUCAACCCAGCAUACAACCACAGACCCAACCGGAUCCAGGGGCCACAACAGCAAAUUCCACAGGAGAAACUCUUACCACGCCACAGGGACAGCAAACGCAACUGCUAAACAGUUUGACAGGCAGAAAUGUCAGUCAGCAAACUCCACCAGUAGUGAUUACUGCGAUGCAACACCAAACUGACAGAGCAAUGCAGUUUCUGAAGAGCAUUUCCAAAGGUCCUAAGAUAGAUUUCCCUACUUUCAGCGGGGAUAAUCCCUUGGGAUGGAUCAGACAAGUCAACAAAUAUUUUCAGCUGGCUCAAAUUCCUGAUGAGUGCAAAGUGGAUUUAGCAUUGACGUACAUUGUUGGGAGGGCUGAUAAUUGGGUCAGGAGUGCUAGAAUGGAAAAUAAUAGAUUACCAUGGCCAGAUUUUUGCCGAGCAUUAUGUGACAGGUUUGCAGAAUCUAGCAUUUAUGAAAUACUGGAAAAAUUCCAUAGCCUCAAACAGAACACUAUGUCAGUAGCUGCUUAUACUGAUAAGUUUGAGGAAGUAAUGGCAGUGGUUAGGGAUGAACAUCCAUACCUGCAAGAAAACUAUUAUAUAGUGAGCUUUGUCAAUGGACUUAAACCCAGCAUCCGAUGUAAUUUGAGACCACAAAGACCUACUACUCUAAGCCAGGCAUAUUGGCUUGCCAGAGACUAUGAAAGUGGACUGCAGGCAAAAUAUCUGUCUUACAUCAACCACCAAGAAAAACAGUCUCAAACUCACUCUGGACAGUCCAAAACUACUAUCCUGCCAGCUCCUAACUUACAAAUCCCUCCUCCAGCAGCAGCUAUAAGGAAACCAGGGGUUUGUUGGAGAUGCAAUGGACCUUGGGUUCCUGGUCAUAAGUGCAAACAAUCUCCUGCACUACAUGCCAUUGUUAGUGAGAAUGAACCUAAAGAUAUGUCACCUGAAGAAGAAGCACAAUUAGCAGUACUAACUGCAGAAUGGCAAUUUACAGAGCUAAUAGAUAAAUGUAUGCACAUCUCUGCACAAGCUGUAUCAGGGGACUCCUCUGAAUCCACUAUAGCAGUGAGCAUUUUUCUGGGAGGAAAAAAAGGAGUAGCCCUAAUAGAUACUGGGAGCACUAAUACAUUCAUUGAUCUCAAAUUUUCCCUGAAGGCUAAUUGCCAAUUGGUCAAUACCCCAACUCAAAAAGUGACAGUGGCUGGUGGUGGUUCUUUAAAUUCAGGAGCUGUUGCACCGAACACUAAUUUCAAAAUAUACAAUGAGGACUUCUCCAAUGAUCUAACAGUGUUAGAUUUCCAAGGCUAUGAUAUUGUUUUAGGGUGUGAUUUUCUGAAAAAGCACAGCCCUCUAUCAAUGGACUUUGAUGCAAGAACUGCCACUAUCAACAAGGACAAGACACAGUCUGUAACAUUUGCAGAUUGUACAGUGGCACAACCACCUAAGCUCAUUUCUGCAGAAAAAGCAGAGAAGUUAUGUUCACAGGGAGCAGUGGGUUUUGCAAUGAGUCUCCAAUUUAUGACCCAAGUCAGUAACUAUAGUUGCAUAUCUACCCAGCCUGAGCCAAAGAUUACAGAGGAACCCUUGCCAGUUUUGGAACAAUAUAAGGAAUUGUUCACAGAACCAACUAAUCUGCCACCCACCAGAGAAUGUGACCACACCAUUCCUCUUAAAGAAGAUACCACACCCCCCAAUGUGAGACCAUACAGAGUCCCUCAUUUACAGAAAAAUGAGAUGGAACAGCAAAUUCAACUGUUGCUUUCCAGGCACAUAAUUCAGCACAGCAUGAGCCCAUAUGCUUCUCCUGCUAUCCUUGUCAGAAAAAAAGGAGGAACUUGGAUACUUUGCAUAGACUACAGGAAAUUGAAUGCACAAACAGUUAAAAACAAGUUUCCUAUACCUGUCAUAGAGGACCUCCUAGAUGAGUUACAUGGAGCAGCUAUCUUCAGCAAAUUGGACUUGAGAUCUGGUUAUCAUCAAAUUAGAAUGAAAACUGAAGAUGUUCACAAAACUGCAUUUAGAACUUAUUCUGGACAUUUUGAGUUCUUGGUUAUGCCCUUUGGCCUCACCAAUGCACCUGCUACCUUCCAGGCCUUGAUGAACAAAAUCUUUGCACCCUAUUUGAGGAAAUUUGUGUUGGUAUUCUUUGAUGAUAUACUAAUUUUCAGUAAGACUCCAGAAGAACAUAAGGAACAUCUGGCCUUAGUAAUGGAAUUGCUCAAAAAACACCAGCUCUUUUUAAAUCAAGCAAAAUGCACCUUUGGUACUCCUACUGUGGAAUAUCUUGGACAUGUUCUUUCUGCUCAGGGGGUUGCUACAGACCCUGACAAAAUCUCAGCUAUAAAACAAUGGCCAAUACCAUCUACAACAACUGAAUUAAGAAGUUUCCUGGAUCUGGCAGGUUACUACAGAAGAUUUAUAAAGGACUGUGGCCUCAUUUGUAGACCACUCCAUGAUCUUCUAAAAAAGGAUGCAUUUCUAUGGCCCCCCUACAAACAGAAGCUUUUGAGAAAUUGAAGUUCAGUCUAUCACAUGCACCAGUGUUAGCAUUGCCUGAUUUCUCCAUUCCUUUUGAACUAGAGUGUGAUGCAUCUGGAGCUGGGAUUGGAGUUGUUCUCAUGCUAAAGCACAAACCAAUUGCUUACUACAGUAAGUCUCUAGGGCCCAAAGCAACUGCUCUAUCCACCUAUGAAAAAGAAGCCAUAGCAAUCUUGGAAUCCUUGAGGAAAUGGAGGCAUUAUUUCCUAGGUUCUUCCUUACUAAUUAAAACAGAUCACCAGAGCCUUAAGUUCAUCACAGAACAGCGAAUUUCUGAAGGAAUACAACAUAAGCUCAUGUUGAAGUUGGUUGAGUUUACUUAUACAAUUGAAUACAAGAAAGGUAAGGAGAACAAGGCUGAUGAUGCUCUGUCCAGGAAACCCCAAAUGAUGGCAAUCUCCAGUGUAGUGCCUAGCUGGACUGAAAAGCUAGAGCACUCCUACGGUUCUGAUGAGAGAUGCAAAACACUGAUAGCUCAACUUACCAGUGGGGCCAAUGAUCUUCCCCUGUACACCUAUACUGCUGGCAUUCUCAGGUAUAAGGACAGAAUUUAUGUUGGAACAAAUGAAGAAUUCAGACAUAAUCUGCUCCUUACUUUUCACUCAUCCCCAAUUGGAGGACAUUCUGGAAUUAGAGCCACCUACCAUAGAAUUAAAAGAAUUUUCUAUUGGCCUAAUCUUAAGUCUGCAGUGGAGCAAUUUAUUCAACAGUGCCCUGUCUGUCAGAGAGCAAAAGGAGAACAUUGCCACUACCCUGCAUUGCUUGACCCCCUUCCCAUCCCUGAUAUGGCUUGGAGGCACAUUUCCAUGGACUUUGUGGAGGGACUCCCAAGAUCACAAGGCAAGGAUGUGAUUUUGGUGGUAGUUGACAGAUUUACUAAAUAUUCUCAUUUUAUUUCCCUAGCACAUCCCUUCUCUGUCACCACUGUCUUACAGGCAUUCAUUGACAAUGUAUUCAAGUUACAUGGUAUGCCAGUGUCCAUGGUGACUGACAGGGACAUGAUAUUCACUAGUAACUUUUGGCAAGCAGUGUUCAAACCUCUGGGAGUUAAACUUAACAUGAGCACAACCCACCAUCCUCAGUCUGAUGGACAAACAGAGCGAGUCAAUCAAUGUAUGGAAGCAUAUCUUAGAAGCAUGGCUUUCACUGAACCAAAAAAGUGGUGCUCUUGGUUAUCUUUGGCAGAAUGGUGGUUUAACACCUCAUACCAUACUGCAACAAAGUUUACUCCUUUUCAAUGCCUUUAUGGUUUCCCCCCACCACAAAUUGGAGAGAUUUCUAUACCAGGACCUGAAGAUACUGAAGCACACUCAUUCUUGGAACAAAGAGAACUUGUACAGCAACAGUUAAAGCAUAACUUACUGGUAGCUCAGGAAAGAAUGAAGAAAUAUGCAGAUAGAAACAGAACAGGUAGACAAUUUCAAGAGGGAGACAUGGUGUACUUAAAAAUGCAACUGUACAGAUUGGCUGCAUUCAACAUCAGAUCAGGGCUCAAAUUAGCCACUAAAUUCUAUGGUCCUUACAGAAUAUUACAGAAAAUUGGAAAUUCCUCAUACAAACUACAGCUACCAGCUAGAGUGCAGAUACACAAUGUGUUUCAUUUCAGUCAACUCAAACGACACUUAGGGCCUAAUGCAGUUCCAGAUCCAGACUUGCCCUUGGUGGAUGCAACUGGUAAGGUUAAAAUAGCCCCCAUCUCGGUGCUGGAAACAAGAGCUGUACCCAGACAACCUCAUUUGGUCACACAAUGGCUAGUCCAGUGGCUGAACAUGUCGCCUGACGAAGCUACAUGGGAAGACGCCGAUUUUAUCAAAGUCACCUUCCCGAAGUUCUUCAACAGCACCAUUCAUUCGUGGUUUCCAAAUUCCGAUCCUCGAGGACAAGGAUCGUCUCCAGGAGAGGGCAGUUGUCAGGACCCUGACAAGUUGUUCCUGUUAACUGAAGAACGAGACACUAGCUCUGAAGAAAUGGAAUUCAGUCUCUGGGAAUCGGACGGCUCGGAUCAAUUGGGCUAAAUGACCGUUGCCGCCACCAGCUGGACAGUAAUAGUGACGGCAACGACUCCUUCCGUCCCACGCCUUCGUCACCUGCCUCCAGCGAUAAAAGGCCCAGCCAGCGUUCUGGAAAAGCAUCUUUCCCCUUUCUCCAAGUGUAAUAGCUAGCUACCUUAAGAACCCUAGAGUACUUGGUAGAAAUUGGGCAGAUCCUCGAUCUGAACCCCUGUAUCUGUAACUCUAAAUUUCGAGAUAAUAUCAAGCGGGGCUAGUUCGAGUAAUUGUUGAGUUGUUGCUGUGUUGAGGUCCUGUCAUGGACGAACCUUCAAAGGGAGUUCUUGUAGGAGGGGCGACAGUUGGUAAAAGAUCGAGAGAAGAUAAUUGUCGACCAUGGAAACACCAUGUUCAGGUUCGGACAUUGCCUCCACAGCAGCAGAUCCGGGUUCAUGGCAUCGGCAAUGGCUCCAGAUCUGUGGCGGCC
Molecule: long non-coding RNA, 7075 nt
Filed under: Triticum aestivum (bread wheat)
Lineage: Eukaryota; Viridiplantae; Streptophyta; Magnoliopsida; Poales; Poaceae
Description: long non-coding RNA (TAES_LNC003159)
Source: RNAcentral